GGCUGAAAAUGCCGGAUCUGCCGAAACCAGCCGGAAACCGGCCGAACCGCUGCCGUCGGCGCCGACCAAAACGGUAACCGAAGGUCCGGUUCGGUUCUGCCGAACCGUAUAUACGUACACGGUACGGUAACGCCGUUGGAUCUUAGUGGAGAUUGAGAUAACCUAAGGGGGUCAGCGAGGUUAGGUCAUUUGUGCCCGCAGCCUCUCUCUCCUCUCCCUCGAGUCGACCCUCUAUUCCUUUCUCUUCCUCUCAGAACCUAGCUCUAAUUUCUUGAAUCCAGCCCCAAUUGUACAAAAACUUUGGCCAUUCCUAUCCCAAAAACACGAUCUACGCAAGAUGCAAACCUCACCAACAUGAAUUUUAACCCCAAUAUCAUUUGAUUUUCGAAAUCCCCAAAUCCUUCGACCCAACCCUAGCUGCUUGUUUGAACUUUGAAGUGGUUGCUCAGAUGCUUGUACGGUGUUGAAGUGGUGGUUCAGAGCAGAAAAAUAUAGGUCAAGGAUGGAGCUGAUGGACAUCGUUGGAAAGUCAAAAGAAGAUGCCUCGCUUCCGAAAGCAACUGCUGCGCUGCAUUUGGGAGGUGCAAACUCUUCUACAACAACUGCUACUUGAAGAUUUGGAUGCUGCAAACUAUUGGUGCUGAAGAUAUAGCGGCUUGUUUUUUGUCAAGUGAUUGAAGUCAUCAAAUCAGUGAAUCAGAAGCAGAUUUUUGUUUGUUUGUAGUUCCUAUUAUGAAGUUAUGUAAUAUUUAAGUACACGUUUAGACUUUGAAAUCAGUCACGCACAUGAUUUCUGAACUUGUGUUCUUGUAAUGUGGAACUGGAAAAAAGCUAAACUAGAGAAACAUCAAGUCUAGAACUCUAUAAGAAGGUGAGAAAUAGGCUUGAUGAAGAUAUAUUAUCGGUGCUGAGUUGAGUAAUUGGUAUCCAUUGAAUAAAUAACUAAUCA
Long non-coding RNA from Rosa chinensis, 949 nucleotides. RefSeq lists it as uncharacterized. The transcript is spliced from 4 exons. The record is from RefSeq and is a predicted model, not a curated record. NCBI's taxonomy places the organism in Eukaryota, Viridiplantae, Streptophyta, Magnoliopsida, Rosales, Rosaceae.